GCUUAGCCUUAAACAUAGAUAAUAACCUACUUAUUUUAUCCGCCUGGGAACUACGAGCGUUAGCUUAAAACCCAAAGGACUUGGCGGUGCUUUAGAUCCACCUAGAGGAGCCUGUUCUAGAACCGAUAAUCCCCGUUAAACCUCACCUUUCCUUGUCUUUUCCGCCUAUAUACCGCCGUCGUCAGCUUGCUCUGUGAGGAACUCGUAGCGUGCAUAACUGGUAUAACCCAAAACGCCAGGUCGAGGUGUAGCGAAUGGAAGGGGAAGAAAUGGGCUACACUCAGUAAUUAUACUAAAUACGGAUGACAUUCUGAAAAAAUAUCUGAAGGAGGAUUUAGCAGUAAGUAGAGAAUAGAGUGCUCUGCUGAAAUAGGCCCUGAAGCGCGU
This 387-nucleotide ribosomal RNA is filed under the name Halichoeres bivittatus (slippery dick). RNAcentral's name for it is "partial 12S ribosomal RNA". It matches the Rfam family "Bacterial small subunit ribosomal RNA", at positions 794 to 1384 of the family's 1533-position model. The record is from RNAcentral. Lineage: Eukaryota; Metazoa; Chordata; Actinopteri; Labriformes; Labridae.